AGGUUAAGUUAACAAGGGCGCAUGGUGAAUGCCUUGGCACUAGGAGCCGAUGAAGGACGGGACUAACACCGAUAUGCUUCGGGGAGCUGUACGUAAGCUAUGAUCCGGAGAUUUCCGAAUGGGGCAACCCAGCAGUUUUAAUCAACUGUUACCACUAGAUGAAUUCAUAGUCUAGUUGGAGGUAAACGCUGUGAACUGAAACAUCUCAUUAGCAGCAGGAAUAUAAAGAAAUUUCGAUUCCCUAAGUAGCGGCGAGCGAACGGGGAACAGCCCAAACCAAAGUGCUUGCACUUUGGGGUUGUAGGACUGAACAUUUGAGUUACCAAAGAACUUGAUAGUCGAAGGAUUUGGGAAAAUCCGCCAUAGAUGGUGAUAGCCCAGUAGAUUAAAUCAAAUUCUCUCAGUUCAGGAUCCUGAGUACGGCGGAACACGUGAAAUUCCGUCGGAAUCCGGGAGGACCAUCUCCCAAGGCUAAAUACUACCUAGUGACCGAUAGUGAACCAGUACCGUGAGGGAAAGGUGAAAAGCACCCCGGGAGGGGAGUGAAAUAGUUCCUGAAACCAUGUGCCUACAAUAAGUCAGAGCGCGUUAAUGCGUGAUGGCGUGCCUUUUGUAGAAUGAACCGGCGAGUUAUGAUCCCGUGCAAGGUUAAGACUAAAAAGUCGGAGCCGUAGCGAAAGCGAGUCUGAAAUGGGCGUUUUGAGUACGAGGUUAUAGACCCGAAACCAGGUGACCUAUCCAUGUCCAGGUUGAAGGUGCGGUAAAACGCACUGGAGGACCGAACCCGUGUAAGUUGAAAAUUGCUGGGAUGAGGUGUGGAUAGCGGUGAAAUUCCAAACGAACUUGGAGAUAGCUGGUUCUCUCCGAAAUAGCUUUAGGGCUAGCCUCGGAAUUAGGAUCAUGGAGGUAGAGCACUAUUUGGACUAGGGGCCCGUCUUGGGUUACUGAAUUCAGAUAAACUCCGAAUGCCAUUGAUUCAUAUCCGGGAGUCAGACGAUGAGUGAUAAGAUCCACCGUCGAAAGGGGAACAGCCCAGACCAUCAGUUAAGGUCCCUAAAUGUAUGCUAAGUGGAAAAGGAUGUGGAGUUGCAUAGACAACUAGGAUGUUGGCUCAGAAGCAGCCACCAUUUAAAGAGUGCGUAAUAGCUCACUAGUCGAGUGAUCCUGCGCCGAAAAUGUACCGGGGCUAAGCAUACUACCGAAACCAUGGAUGCGACCAUUAGGUCGCGUGAUAGGAGAGCGUUCUAAGGGCGGUGAAGCAAGAUCGUGAGGACUUGUGGAGCGCUUAGAAGUGAGAAUGCCGGUAUGAGUAGCGAAAGAUAGGUGAGAAUCCUAUCCACCGAAUGACUAAGGUUUCCUGGGGAAGGCUCGUCCUCCCAGGGUUAGUCGGGACCUAAGUCGAGGCCGAGAGGCGUAGACGAUGGAUAACAGGUUGAGAUUCCUGUACUAGUUAAGUGCGUUUGAGCAAUGGAGGGACGCAGGAGGCUAAGAUGUGCAUUCUGUUGGAUUAGAAUGUCCAAGCAGUAAGUCUUGUGAAGAGUCAAAUGCUUUUCACUUUAAGGACAAGCUGUGAUGGGGAGCGAAAUUUAGUAGCGAAGCGUCUGAUGUCACACUGCCGAGAAAAGCUUCUAGUGAGUACUUAACUACCCGUACCGCAAACCGACACAGGUAGUCGAGGAGAGAAUCCUAAGGUGAGCGAGUGAACUCUCGUUAAGGAACUCGGCAAAAUGACCCCGUAACUUCGGGAGAAGGGGUGCUGAUCGCAAGAUCAGCCGCAGUGAAUAGGCCCAGGCGACUGUUUAUCAAAAACACAGGUCUCUGCAAAAUCGUAAGAUGACGUAUAGGGGCUGACGCCUGCCCGGUGCUGGAAGGUUAAAAGGAUGGGUUAGCUUCGGCGAAGCUCAGAAUUGAAGCCCCAGUAAACGGCGGCCGUAACUAUAACGGUCCUAAGGUAGCGAAAUUCCUUGUCGGGUAAGUUCCGACCCGCACGAAAGGCGUAACGAUCUGGGCACUGUCUCAACGAGAGACUCGGUGAAAUUAUAUUGUCCGUGAAGAUGCGGACUACCCGCGACAGGACGGAAAGACCCCAUGGAGCUUUACUGUAGCUUGAUAUUGAGUGUUUGUACAGCUUGUACAGGAUAGGUAGGAGCCAUAGAAACCGGAACGCUAGUUUCGGUGGAGGCAUUGGUGGGAUACUACCCUCGCUGUAUGACCACUCUAACCCGCACCACUAAUCGUGGUGGGAGACAGUGUCAGGUGGGCAGUUUGACUGGGGCGGUCGCCUCCUAAAAAGUAACGGAGGCGCCCAAAGGUUCCCUCAGAAUGGUUGGAAAUCAUUCGCAGAGUGUAAAGGCACAAGGGAGCUUGACUGCGAGACAGACAGGUCGAGCAGGGACGAAAGUCGGGCUUAGUGAUCCGGUGGUACCGUAUGGAAGGGCCAUCGCUCAACGGAUAAAAGCUACCCUGGGGAUAACAGGCUUAUCUCCCCCAAGAGUCCACAUCGACGGGGAGGUUUGGCACCUCGAUGUCGGCUCAUCGCAUCCUGGGGCUGUAGUCGGUCCCAAGGGUUGGGCUGUUCGCCCAUUAAAGCGGUACGCGAGCUGGGUUCAGAACGUCGUGAGACAGUUCGGUCCCUAUCCGUCGCGGGCGUAGGAAAUUUGAGAGGACCUGUCCUUAGUACGAGAGGACCGGGAUGGACAUACCUCUGGUGUACCAGUUGUGCCGCCAGGCGCAUCGCUGGGUAGCUACGUAUGGAUGUGAUAAACGCUGAAAGCAUCUAAGUGUGAAACACACCUCGAGAUGAGAUUUCCCAUUCCUUUAUGGAAGUAAGACCCCUGAAAGAUGAUCAGGUAGAUAGGUUAGAAGUGGCAGUGCGGUGACGCAUGAAGCGGACUAAUACUAAUCGGUCGAGGACUUAACCAAG
This 2923-nucleotide ribosomal RNA is filed under the name Lactiplantibacillus plantarum. RNAcentral describes it as "bacterial LSU rRNA". It matches the Rfam family "Bacterial large subunit ribosomal RNA". The record is from RNAcentral. Lineage: Bacteria; Bacillati; Bacillota; Bacilli; Lactobacillales; Lactobacillaceae.